This 83-nucleotide microRNA precursor is filed under the name Sorex araneus (European shrew). RNAcentral describes it as "miRNA (ENSSARG00000018327.1)". Lineage: Eukaryota; Metazoa; Chordata; Mammalia; Eulipotyphla; Soricidae. The record is from RNAcentral.
GGGCAGGGCUGGGCUGGGCUGCCCGAGUCCGGUGGUCUGCGUGUGCAUCUUGGCCUCGUCCCCUUCCCUGGCCGUGUGUAUCC